This 389-nucleotide ribosomal RNA is filed under the name uncultured Alphaproteobacteria bacterium. RNAcentral describes it as "bacterial SSU rRNA". It matches the Rfam family "Bacterial small subunit ribosomal RNA", at positions 9 to 414 of the family's 1533-position model. The record is from RNAcentral. Lineage: Bacteria; Pseudomonadati; Pseudomonadota; Alphaproteobacteria.
GAGUUUGAUCAUGGCUCAGAACGAACGCUGGCGGCAGGCCUAACACAUGCAAGUCGAACGAGCUGAGACCUUCGGGUCUCUAUGCUAGUGGCGCACGGGUGAGUAACGCGUGGGAAUAUGCCCUUCAGUACGGAAUAACUCAGGGAAACUUGGGCUAAUACCGUAUACGCCCUCCGGGGGAAAGAUUUAUCGCUGAAGGAUUAGCCCGCGUCUGAUUAGGUAGUUGGUGAGGUAACGGCUCACCAAGCCGACGAUCAGUAGCUGGUCUGAGAGGAUGAUCAGCCACACUGGGACUGAGACACGGCCCAGACUCCUACGGGAGGCAGCAGUGGGGAAUAUUGGACAAUGGGCGAAAGCCUGAUCCAGCCAUGCCGCGUGAGUGAAGAAGG